Xyrichtys novacula (pearly razorfish) is the source of this 1022-nucleotide non-coding RNA. NCBI's taxonomy places the organism in Eukaryota, Metazoa, Chordata, Actinopteri, Labriformes, Labridae. The record is from the annotation of a GenBank genome assembly.
CGUCUGCAGUGUUGUUCCAGGGGAGCAGCGUGUGAGGAAAAACAGAGGAGAGGUAAAUUAACUACAUUUGUCAGUUUACGUUUAGCUCCGGUAUCGAUCCUUCCUGAGGUGUAGGGGUGUGUUUUCAGUGUGUGUGUGUAGAUACAGUCCUGCUGUGUGUGUGUGUGUGAAGUCUAUUUAAAGGGAAAUGUAAUAAGAGCAGCAGCCUCAGCUCCACAUCCUCCUUCCUGUUUAUCGAACGCUGGAAUAAAAGACGCAGACACAUUUGAGGCUUUUAGUCAGUCUCUGUGUUUGUGUGCGAUUGUUGCCUCGGUGAUAAAAUGUUGAAAUAAUGACAGAAGUGGUGAAUGAAUAAUUCAUGACGUAAUUAAAAUUGAUUUCCCAGAAAAAAAGGCUGCAGUGAUUUAUGCUCAGCUCCGAUGUGUGGGAGCAGUUUUUGAUCAGAUGUGUCACGUUGUUAAAACCUGAUCCAGUUCCUCUAAUAACAAAUGUGGAUUAACAUCUUAAGAGCAUCUCACCAUCCUCUGUUGUGAAGGCAGUCUGUAAAGACUAAUAUACUUCAGUCAUGGUUACUCAGAACCAAAGAUCACAUCCAAACAGUCUGAGCUCAGAAUAAAACACUGCUCAGAUCGCAAACACACAGGCGAUACUCGCAUUAUUACCCGUUUCCCCUCAUUUUAAACCAAAAACACCACUGUGAAAACCUGAACUUUGAGUGUCAGUGACUGUCUUUAAACUCUGUGCUAGUUCCUCUGUUCUCACCCAAAUAUCAGUCUGAUUCACAGUUUGGCACACACCUUCUUUCAGCUCACCUGGAAGUGUGACCUUUUGUACUUCGCUGCUCUUGUUGACAGGACAGACCUCCAGGAGACAGGAUGGAUGUAGCAUUCACUCAGUUUAUUAUGCCGCCUCUGUAAGAUGGGGGGAAAAACACAACCACAGCUGCUCAGUUUCUUCAGAGGUCUAAACUACAAAAAAUAAACUACAACCAUUCUGGUUCACUCUAUGGUAGCUGACGGGAG